Long non-coding RNA from Juglans microcarpa x Juglans regia, 698 nucleotides. RefSeq lists it as uncharacterized. The transcript has 2 exons. NCBI's taxonomy places the organism in Eukaryota, Viridiplantae, Streptophyta, Magnoliopsida, Fagales, Juglandaceae. The record is from RefSeq and is a predicted model, not a curated record.
GAUAUUAACUUGGUGGAAGGUAAAUUCUGGCAAAGUUUCCAAUCCUUUCCCGAAGAGUAAUGCUACUCAUCAUCCUCUUUCUCAUCAUCCCAUGAUGUGGCAUUAGAUGAUUGAAAAUUAGAUGAUUGGUUCACAAGUAAAAUAUAAUAAAUAAUAUUCAAUCAUCUAAUGUCACAUCAUGGGAUGAUGGGAGAUGAUGAGAAAGAGGAUGUUGAAUAAAUUUGUUGUUUCCCGAAUAGCUAGGGAUGUACUAGUUAUUCCUAUCACUACGGUUGCUUCUAAGUCGGCGUUGAACACCGGAGGUCGUGUCUUGGAUGCUAAUUGGAGUUCAUUGUCCAUGACCACCGUCGAGGCCUUCGUUUGCACACAGAACUGGUUAAGUACAACGCCCAUUGGAGUAGAUACUGUUGAUGCCGAGAACUAUAGGCUUGAAUCAGGUAACUUUAUGAUUUUAAAUGAUUAUUUACAUAAUUUUAAUGUUUUCAUUAUUUAAGUUAUAAUUUAUAUGAUGUUGUAAAUCUAGCUGUGAACUCCAGACUAAUUGUGGAUGACUGAGAGUCUGAGACCGACGCAUUGUGGGAUGAUUACCAUCAUGCAAAACUCGUCAGAGUUAGAGGUGGAGGUGAGCUCAUAAUAUCACUUUGCUGAUGGUUUAGAAGUCUAUAUUAAAUAACUAAAGAAAAGAUAGUGCAUCUGAU